Molecule: ribosomal RNA, 468 nt
Filed under: uncultured bacterium
Lineage: Bacteria
Description: partial 16S ribosomal RNA
Rfam family: Bacterial small subunit ribosomal RNA
Source: RNAcentral
GAUGAACGCUGGCGGCGUGCUUAACACAUGCAAGUCGAACGGAAAGGCCCUGCUUUUGUGGGGUGCUCGAGUUGCGAACGGGUGAGUAACACGUGAGUAACCUGCCCUUUACUGUGGGAUAACUUCAGGAAACUGGGGCUAAUACCGGAUAGGAGCUCCUAUUGCAUGGUGGCGGUUGGAAAGUUUCGGCGGUUGGGGAUGGACUCGCGGCAUCGUUGCUUGUUGGUGGGGUUGUGGCUUACCCAGGCUUUGACGGAUAGCCGGCCUGAGCGGGUGACCGGGCACAUUGGGACUGGGAUACGGGCCAGACUGCUGCUGGGGGCAUGAGUGGCGAAUAUUACACAAUGGGCGGAGGACUUGUGCAGCAAAGCCGCGUGGGGGAGGACGGCUUUCGGGGUGGAACCCGUUUUCGACUGUAACGUGCCGCCAGUGACGGUAUCUGGGAAGGAAGCACCGGCUAACUACGUG